RNAcentral lists this long non-coding RNA (524 nucleotides) under Triticum aestivum (bread wheat). Its description in RNAcentral is "long non-coding RNA (TAES_LNC026438)". The record is from RNAcentral. Lineage: Eukaryota; Viridiplantae; Streptophyta; Magnoliopsida; Poales; Poaceae.
GCAAUGGCAAGGCGCCCGUGGAUUUGUUUGGUUCGUGUCUGUUUACUGUUUACCUGUACAAGUUGGCCGGAGGUGGAGUAGUGGUAUGUAUACAGUGAGUGGCCACGGGUUCCUUGGGCUUGAUGCAAUGUAUGACAGGUGACAGCACAAGUGGCAAGCGAUGUGCUCAUGUGGAUGUAGUAGAUAUUCUCAAAAAAAAAAAUGUGGAUGUAGUAGAUGUGGUGGCCAUAUGGAUAAUGGAACUGGCAGCAGCUCAGAAUGUAUGUAGAGAACACACACACGGCAUGUAUAGUCGCACCCCCCAUGAUGUGAAUGAAAUAAUACCUUCGUUGGUAAAAAGCGGCAGUGUUUCUCACUGUUUUUCUCCGUUACAGUUUUUUCUCUUUGCAGUUGUGCAACCAGGCAGUUUUUUUCAACACACCAGGCAGUUGAAGGGCAAGGCAUGUGUAAAGGUAAGCUUCUUAUCUACUGUAUUUUCAUCAGAUUUCUUUUGGUUUAGUUACCAGAGAAGAGUGAUUAGCAAC